Molecule: long non-coding RNA, 975 nt
Filed under: Pan troglodytes (chimpanzee)
Lineage: Eukaryota; Metazoa; Chordata; Mammalia; Primates; Hominidae
Description: long non-coding RNA NONPTRT015767
Source: RNAcentral
UCCAGCUUCUCCCCAAACCAUCCUGGCUCUGAGGGGUGGCACCUGGCUGUGGGCGCCAUGAGUCGCUGGCUAGCAAGCAGUUGGACUCCAGGCUCAGAACCUGAGAAUCUUGGCGGUGGGGCAGGAUUGUGAGGCCGCAUUCUGUCCCCGGCGAGACCUGGCUUUGUCCAGUUCCUCCCGGGCCUCCCAACGCCCCCGAUGGCUCCUUCCCCCUGGCCAUCUGUCCGGUCCCUCCUUCAUGUCGGUCGCUGGCCCACCGGUGACUGCUUGGCUUCUGCUGGAGUUUAAGGGGGCUUUCCGCUGCCCCGUACUGAGGCACCCCCGCAUCAUUCCUGGGCGUGUCCCCAAGAACAGCCAUGGCCUCCACAGUGCAAGCUGAAGGGAUACCCACCCACCAUCCCAGGGUCUACAACAUCCACAGCCGGACCGUCACCCGCUAUCCUGCCAACUCUAUCGUGGUCGUGGGAGGCUGUCCCGUCUGCAGGGUUGGGGUGCUGGAGGAUUGCUUCACCUUCCUGGGCAUCUUCCUGGCCAUCAUCCUCUUCCCCUUUGGGUUCAUUUGCUGUUUUGCCUUGAGGAAGCGACGAUGCCCCAACUGUGGAGCCACCUUCGCUUAAAGGGAACACCAGGCCCGGCUUUCCUACACCCAGCUCUCUUUUUCUAAUGUAAAUGUUGUGUACAAUAGUUUUAUUUGAUUAAGCUUCAGGACUGUUUUGUAAAGCGAGGUGGGACCGAUGUGGCACACGCCAGCUGCGGUUUCCCGGAGCGUGGAGAGGCAGCGCUGCUGCUCCCGCCCGAGGCUUAUGACAACUCAAUAAAGCACUGCUUUUAUUUUUUGCAGUCUUCAAUUUGAGAAAGGUGAGAAAUAAUGUUUUCAAUAAAUGAGAUUCAUACCAUUGUUGACCUGGUGCUGCUUACUCGGUGCUUUCAGACACCCAGGAAAGACUGGAACGACGACCCCAUCGCUCCCCCGGC